This 355-nucleotide ribosomal RNA is filed under the name uncultured Thauera sp. Its description in RNAcentral is "bacterial SSU rRNA". It matches the Rfam family "Bacterial small subunit ribosomal RNA", at positions 1025 to 1382 of the family's 1533-position model. Lineage: Bacteria; Pseudomonadati; Pseudomonadota; Betaproteobacteria; Rhodocyclales; Zoogloeaceae. The record is from RNAcentral.
ACGAGGGUGACAGGUGGUGCAUGGUUGUCGUCAGCUCGUGUCGUGAGAUGUUGGGUUAAGUCCCGCAACGAGCGCAACCCUCGCCUCAGUUGCCAGCAUUCGGUUGGGCACUCUAGUGAGACUGCCGGUGACAAACCGGAGGAAGGUGGGGAUGACGUCAAGUCCUCAUGGCCCUUAUGGGUAGGGCUUCACACGUCAUACAAUGGUCGGUACAGAGGGUUGCCAAGCCGCGAGGUGGAGCCAAUCCCUUAAAGCCGAUCGUAGUCCGGAUCGUAGUCUGCAACUCGACUACGUGAAGUCGGAAUCGCUAGUAAUCGCAGAUCAGCAUGCUGCGGUGAAUACGUUCCCGGGUCUU